Long non-coding RNA from Hemiscyllium ocellatum (epaulette shark), 1607 nucleotides. RefSeq lists it as uncharacterized. The record is from RefSeq and is a predicted model, not a curated record. The transcript has 5 exons. NCBI's taxonomy places the organism in Eukaryota, Metazoa, Chordata, Chondrichthyes, Orectolobiformes, Hemiscylliidae.
GGUCAAACUGGGAGAAAAGGGAAUUGGGGAAAUGACCAAUUGAUUGUUUCUGGGAAUCAUUGGGAGUCAAAGAUGACUUCCUGACGAGUGGAGCGCAUGCGUCAGCGCUGCCAUUGAGGAGCAUUUACUCAGUGAGUGCAAGAGGUUUGUUUGAAACAGACCGCAAUGGAGAGAUCAGCGCCCAGGGAAGCGAGGGAACAGCAGGCUCCUUCCAGCAGCACAUCGGGAUGGGAGCCUGGGACACAGAGGGGGCUCCGAGACCGGGAUUGAUUCAGGGCAAAUAUUUGAUGGACCAAUGUCAUAUUGCCUCAGUACAAAGACAAGUGUGACCAUCUGCUUCUAACAACCAGCAGACAAAUACUUGAAGGAGCAAGACAAUGUAACAUCCCCUCGGUACAAAGCCAAGUGUGAUCAGUUCCUUCUAACAAACAGCAGGGAAGAAGAUGACUUGCGAUAAGGAUACUUACAACCAGGCAUCACUUCCAAAUGUGACCAAGCUGCCCAGUUUAUUGUCACCUGAAUAUCAUUGGGUUUUGAAGGAAAAAAAACACCUUUCACAGGGGGAGAAACAUGUGGACAAGUCUUCAGCAGAUCAUCUGCCCAGUCACAACAUAAAUACAGCCACGCUGGAGAAAGGCCAUUCAUCUGUUCCAAGGGUGGGAAAGGAUUCACCCUGCUGAAACCCCAGCAAGUUCACACAGAACAGACCUUUGAAAUGCUCAAAAUGUGGGAACUGCUUUAAACAACUCUGGGGCACAGAUAUCCCACCAACAUGCUCACAGUAAUGAGAGACCCUUCAUGUGCUCUCACUGUGGAUGUGGGUUCAAACAAUCGUCUGACUUCAUUGAACACUAGUGGAUCCGCAUGAGGGAGAGACCACUCGCCUGCACCCAAUGUGGGAAGGGAUUUGCUCAGAAAUCCACCUUGCUCAAACACCAGCGAAUUCACAUGAAGGACAGACCUUUUAAAUGCUCAGAUUUUGAGAACUGCUGUAAAAGUGAUGGGACAUCAGGGCCCCAUUAAUGUGGUCACACUGAUGACAGAGUAUUCAGGUGCUAUCACUGUGGGGCUGGGUUCAAGUGGUCAUCCCAACUCACUGCACACCAGCCAAUGCACACUGGAGAGAGACCACACACCUGCACUGACUGUGGGAAAAGAUUUACUCAUAAAUCCAACCUGUUAAAACAGCAGCGAUCUCUCUGAAGUUAGAGGGUGCUCUGCUGCCUCUGUGGGAAGACAUUCAUUGUGAAAUCCAACCUGCUGAAACACCAGCAUAUUCAUGAGUAAUGACAGUGCCUGGUUUUUACCGUGAACAUCUCGCUGCUUCAUAGUCUUCCUACUUCUCAGCCAGAAGAUUUUGUUUCAAGUCCCACCUGAUAUGGAGCUGUGUCAAAGAACUUACUUAUUACUUUAAUUGAUGGCUGAAUGAUAUCCACUGGGGCUGGUUUCUGCUGAAGUUCACGAACUCCAGCUCUCAGUUAAAGGGAUGACUGUUUGGGAUGACAAUGAAAUAAAUGCACUUUGUGGUCCUCACUGCAACAGUCUGGAGAAGAAAUUGCGGGGGGACCUGGCUGAUAUUUUUGCAUCCUUGUUAGCCAUGGGUGAGG